UAUUUUUUUAUUUGUUAAGGAUCAUGAACAUUUGCAGUCACUGUUUCUGAUGGGUGUUCAUUGUCAACAAGCGAAUAGAUUUCUGCAUCUCUCCGAAAUAGUCUUCGAUGUUUUUGAUGAUGAGGGAGUGUUCUUUGCGACAGCCAUUUCCUUUGAUGACUUAACUGUGUGGGCCGCACGGUCUCGGGUCUGUCCCUUCACGCUCCAUGACAACCCUUUACCCCCAAACUGUGAAUCACCCAAAUGUCUGCCAGCUGGUGAGGGAUAAAUAACCGUGGUACAUUUAAGCAACGGAAUACUACUCAGCAAUGAAAAAGAACAAGCGACAGAAGCGUUGAGAAAACAUAGAUAAGGCCUGAAGUGUGACGCUGAAGGAAGCCAGACACAAGGGGACACGUUGAUGAUUCCGCUGAUAUUCAGUUUCUAGACUGCAUUUUAAAUUGAUAGAUUUUCAGCUUCUCAGUGGGACACACUAAGUUACGAAGUACCUGGUUACCUUAAUUCUUUCUCAACUGCUCUUUGAUUUUCUUUUUAUUUUCUAUAUAAACUUGCUCUUUUCCUUUUAGAGCUUUUUCUAAAAGGAACUCUUAACUUCCAUUUAAAAGCUCUGUGAUCAGCAGUAGAAGAAAUAAAUGAUCCGUUCACCAGCCAUUCUAAUCAGGGGUAGCGUUAAAAGCUUUUUCACCUUGCUAUUUUGAAGACGUUUACUUCUUUAAACAAAUGAUUCCAAUUAAUAAAU
Homo sapiens (human) is the source of this 739-nucleotide long non-coding RNA. The record is from Ensembl. Lineage: Eukaryota; Metazoa; Chordata; Mammalia; Primates; Hominidae.